UAGAGUUUGAUCAUGGCUCAGGAUGAACGCUAGCGACAGGCCUAACACAUGCAAGUCGAGGGGCAUCGGGGCGAGGAGCAAUCCUUGCCGCCGGCGACCGGCGCACGGGUGAGUAACGCGUAUGCGACCUGCCCGUUGCAGGGGGAUAAUCGGGAGAAAUCCCGUCUAAUACCGCGUAAUGCCGCGGGGCUGCAUGGCCCUGCGGCCAAAGGGAGCGAUUCCGGCAACGGAUGGGCAUGCGUGACAUUAGCUAGUUGGCGGGGCAACGGCCCACCAAGGCGACGAUGUCUAGGGGUUCUGAGAGGAAGGUCCCCCACACUGGUACUGAGACACGGACCAGACUCCUACGGGAGGCAGCAGUGAGGAAUAUUGGUCAAUGGGCGCGAGCCUGAACCAGCCAAGUCGCGUGAGGGAUGACGGCCCUACGGGUUGUAAACCUCUUUUGUCGGGGAGCAAAUUCCGCCACGUGUGGCGGAGUCGAGAGUACCCGAAGAAAAAGCAUCGGCUAACUCCGUGCCAGCAGCCGCGGUAAUACGGAGGAUGCGAGCGUUAUCCGGAUUUAUUGGGUUUAAAGGGUGCGUAGGCGGACUGUCAAGUCAGCGGUAAAAUACGGGGGCUCAACCUCCGCCCGCCGUUGAAACUGACGGUCUUGAGUGGGCGAGAAGUAUGCGGAAUGCGUGGUGUAGCGGUGAAAUGCAUAGAUAUCACGCAGAACUCCGAUUGCGAAGGCAGCAUACCGGCGCCCAACUGACGCUGAAGCACGAAAGCGUGGGUAUCGAACAGGAUUAGAUACCCUGGUAGUCCACGCAGUAAACGAUGAAUACUAGCUGUCCGGGGCGAAUGAGCCCUGGGUGGCACAGCGAAAGCGUUAAGUAUUCCACCUGGGGAGUACGCCGGCAACGGUGGAACUCAAAGGAAUUGACGGGGGCCCGCACAAGCGGAGGAACAUGUGGUUUAAUUCGAUGAUACGCGAGGAACCUUACCCGGGCUCAAACGACACAGGAACGUACCUGAAAGGGUUCGGCUCUACGGAGCCUGUGUCGAGGUGCUGCAUGGUUGUCGUCAGCUCGUGCCGUGAGGUGUCGGCUUAAGUGCCAUAACGAGCGCAACCCCCAUCGACAGUUGCUAACAGGUCAGGCUGAGGACUCUGUCGAGACUGCCGGCGCAAGCUGCGAGGAAGGCGGGGAUGACGUCAAAUCAGCACGGCCCUUACGUCCGGGGCGACACACGUGUUACAAUGGCAGGUACAGCGGGAUGCCAUGGGGCGACCCAGAGCGGAACCCGAAAACCUGUCUCAGUUCGGAUUGGAGUCUGCAACCCGACUCCAUGAAGCUGGAUUCGCUAGUAAUCGCGCAUCAGCCACGGCGCGGUGAAUACGUUCCCGGGCCUUGUACACACCGCCCGUCAAGCCAUGGGAGCCGGGGGUGCCUGAAGGCCGUGACCGCGAGGAGCGGCCUAGGGUAAAACUGGUGACUGGGGCUAAGUCGUAACAAGGUAACCGUAA
Molecule: ribosomal RNA, 1504 nt
Filed under: uncultured bacterium
Lineage: Bacteria
Description: bacterial SSU rRNA
Rfam family: Bacterial small subunit ribosomal RNA
Source: RNAcentral